GGGACAACAGUUGGAAACGACUGCUAAUACCGCAUAAGCCCACGGGUCGGCAUCGAGCAGAGGGAAAAGGAGCAAUCCGCUUUGAGAUGGCCUCGCGUCCGAUUAGCUAGUUGGUGAGGUAACGGCCCACCAAGGCAACGAUCGGUAGCCGGACUGAGAGGUUGAACGGCCACAUUGGGACUGAGACACGGCCCAGACUCCUACGGGAGGCAGCAGUGGGGAAUAUUGCACAAUGGGGGAAACCCUGAUGCAGCGACGCCGCGUGGAGGAAGAAGGUCUUCGGAUUGUAAACUCCUGUUGUUGAGGAAGAUAAUGACGGUACUCAACAAGGAAGUGACGGCUAACUACGUGCCAGCAGCCGCGGUAAAACGUAGGUCACAAGCGUUGUCCGGAAUUACUGGGUGUAAAGGGAGCGCAGGCGGGAAGACAAGUUGGAAGUGAAAUCCAUGGGCUCAACCCAUGAACUGCUUUCAAAACUGUUUUUCUUGAGUAGUGCAGAGGUAGGCGGAAUUCCCGGUGUAGCGGUGGAAUGCGUAGAUAUCGGGAGGAACACCAGUGGCGAAGGCGGCCUACUGGGCACCAACUGACGCUGAGGCUCGAAAGUGUGGGUAGCAAACAGGAUUAGAUACCCUGGUAGUCCACACCGUAAACGAUGAUUACUAGGUGUUGGAGGAUUGACCCCUUCAGUGCCGCAG
RNAcentral lists this ribosomal RNA (695 nucleotides) under uncultured bacterium. RNAcentral's name for it is "bacterial SSU rRNA". It matches the Rfam family "Bacterial small subunit ribosomal RNA", at positions 140 to 851 of the family's 1533-position model. The record is from RNAcentral.